RNAcentral lists this long non-coding RNA (1590 nucleotides) under Helicoverpa zea (corn earworm). RNAcentral describes it as "uncharacterized LOC124629741, transcript variant X2". Lineage: Eukaryota; Metazoa; Arthropoda; Insecta; Lepidoptera; Noctuidae. The record is from RNAcentral.
AGCGCGGCGGCGGCGGUAAGGCGGUGAUUGGCCCGCAGCGCAUCGCGUCAUAGCCGUCACUCGGUCACUUUCGUCACGACUAGUACACUUCCAGUAAAGGACAUUGCCACCCGUUGGGCCCCUUAUUUGUGAUAGAGUGUCAAGAAUAUUUUAUUAUUAAAAAUCAAGUCCUAAUUUUAUAAAACUAACUAUUUUUUUUCAGAAUUUCUUGUACCCUAGCAUUGAAAAACAUAAUUAAUAUUUAUUUUAUUGAAUCUAAGCUAGUUCCGCCAUUAAAACUUAACGUGAAUGUUGCCAGGUAGACGACAGACUAUCUCAUUUAAAUGAACGAGGUGAUCGAUUGAAAAUAUCGAUAUAAUAUAUAGCAUUUUUCUCUUAUAUCAAAAUGUACAAGUAUAUAUAUUAAGUAUGCACUCGUAAAUAGUAAACAAGAAAAGAAGAAAGAAAAACUGUUUAUAACUGUUGCACAAACAAUAAAAUAUCAACACUAACAAAAGUCACCACUGAACUAUAUCUAUAAAACGGUUACACCUAACACCAUACAUGGAAUACAACAAUAACACAAUAAUUAGUAAAUGAUAUUAUUUAUAACAAAUCGAUUUAGAAAAUCGAUUAACAAAAUAUUUAACAUGGUAACAUCUACUCGGAACGCGAGUCUAUCUGUCAAAUCAAUACGUCAUUCAAAUUGUUUUCGUGCCGGUUGUUAUGCGUAGAGUUGAAUUUAUUCCUCCGUAUUUGCUUCUGAUAGUUACAAUUUGCGUAAAAACUGUCGAGCUAAUCGUUUUCGUGCCUCCAGUGGUUUUUUUUUAGAUAUUGGACUCUUUUCUUAAUGAUAAGUGAGCACAUUGACUCGUGAGCAUUGGACUCUUGUUUUUAGUGAUAUUGUUGUUUUACUCCGGAAAAAUGUCUGCACCUGGUAGAAGUCGAGUAAACUACUCUUUGUCUCGCCAGUGUGUUAAUUUCUCUUUACGUAUAGGGCCUAAUCUUCGUAGACGUUAAAUUGAAGAAAUAGAUGAACCAAUGCUUAUCCUUCUAAACACCUACAUUGGUAAGUUUGUUUUAUUAUGUUUGUGGAUUUCACACGUCUCUAAACUACCUUACAUUUUAUUUUGUCAUUUUUUCCAGAUAUCUUCUGAUGAUAUCCUGUGUGUGAAAUGUUUUGUAUUAUUACAAAACCAGACAGCAUCUAACUCAAAUCUGUCACUUGUAUCCCCUGCUCGUGGACACCUAAACAUAUGCUACGCAUGUGGCUUGUCAACAGCAAGUCGCAGAACUCAUAGAGUCAGUCAAGAUAGUUCCUCAAAGGAAUGUUAUACUAAGAUGGACACCAGUACAUCACGUGUUGCAUUUGGAACGAGUUUGUGUUCCUUGUUGGGCGGCUGCAUCAAGACAAGUCCGGAGGCAACCCGUUGCUGGCAGUAGCCAACACACUGUGGAGUCUGCACCGGAGACUGGUAUCAUGGAUGGAAACAUAAUUACAGAUAUGAUGAUUCCUGUACCACCACCACUGCCACCGCUUUAAUGAUAUAAGCGCUCCAGCACAAUUUCUAGACAACAUAUUCCUUGAAGAAUAAAUGUCUAUUAUUUUAA